UUAAAGAGAGUUUGAUCCUGGCUCAGGACGAACGCUGGCGGCGUGCCUAAUACAUGCAAGUCGAACGAACGGAGGAAGAGCUUGCUCUUCCAAAGUUAGUGGCGGACGGGUGAGUAACACGUGGGCAACCUGCCUGUAAGUUGGGGAUAACUCCGGGAAACCGGGGCUAAUACCGAAUGAUAAAGUGUGGCGCAUGCCACGCUUUUGAAAGAUGGUUUCGGCUAUCGCUUACAGAUGGGCCCGCGGUGCAUUAGCUAGUUGGUAGGGUAAUGGCCUACCAAGGCAACGAUGCAUAGCCGACCUGAGAGGGUGAUCGGCCACACUGGGACUGAGACACGGCCCAGACUCCUACGGGAGGCAGCAGUAGGGAAUCUUCCGCAAUGGACGAAAGUCUGACGGAGCAACGCCGCGUGUAUGAAGAAGGUUUUCGGAUCGUAAAGUACUGUUGUUAGAGAAGAACAAGGAUAAGAGUAACUGCUUGUCCCUUGACGGUAUCUAACCAGAAAGCCACGGCUAACUACGUGCCAGCAGCCGCGGUAAUACGUAGGUGGCAAGCGUUGUCCGGAUUUAUUGGGCGUAAAGCGCGCGCAGGCGGUCUUUUAAGUCUGAUGUGAAAGCCCCCGGCUUAACCGGGGAGGGUCAUUGGAAACUGGAAGACUGGAGUGCAGAAGAGGAGAGUGGAAUUCCACGUGUAGCGGUGAAAUGCGUAGAUAUGUGGAGGAACACCAGUGGCGAAGGCGACUCUCUGGUCUGUAACUGACGCUGAGGCGCGAAAGCGUGGGGAGCAAACAGGAUU
RNAcentral lists this ribosomal RNA (796 nucleotides) under Listeria monocytogenes. RNAcentral's name for it is "bacterial SSU rRNA". It matches the Rfam family "Bacterial small subunit ribosomal RNA", at positions 1 to 779 of the family's 1533-position model. Lineage: Bacteria; Bacillati; Bacillota; Bacilli; Caryophanales; Listeriaceae. The record is from RNAcentral.